Molecule: long non-coding RNA, 425 nt
Filed under: Homo sapiens (human)
Lineage: Eukaryota; Metazoa; Chordata; Mammalia; Primates; Hominidae
Description: non-protein coding lnc-FGF9-1:1
Source: RNAcentral
CAUUUGCAGAUUCCCUCAGGGGCAGCAGUGAACUCCAUCUCUGAAAAUAGAUGAUUACAAAUUUUCUUUGUGUGCUACUGAAGCACAUAAAUCUCUGUGAGGUUGAUACUGACUGAUUUUUUCCAGCUGAGCUCCAGAGGCUAUUUGCCAAAUACCAUGGAGGAGGCAUCUCCCUGGAAUACCUGAGCGCCCUUGUUCACUGGGAUGGUCACAGCAAGAGACUGAUGCCUCUGCACACCUGCACAUCUGAGAGGCAGAGUUGCCAUUGACCCUUCCUUGAAAUGCCUUGAGGCCAGAAACACUGAGGGCAUCUUAUUUACACUUAACUCCAUCUUGUGAAAAAAAUGGAGCAGCAAAACUAAUAGCCCAGAUUUGGACCCCAGGAUGACAAGCUCCAAGAUGGUGGAUAAUUUUCCUUCUUGACC